Molecule: non-coding RNA, 1321 nt
Organism: Miniopterus natalensis
Lineage: Eukaryota; Metazoa; Chordata; Mammalia; Chiroptera; Miniopteridae
Source: RefSeq, a predicted model, not a curated record
UGAAAGGCUUCCCCGAGGCCGCGAAAGGGCCAUGGCCCUCGGCCAGGACCGCACUGCCGCCAGUGUGCAGCCACGCAGCUGCCGGAUGGACCAGGCAUCUUCGAUUUCAUGCAAACAGCCCAUAAAUCAACGUGAGAAACAGCCGAGCUCCAGUUUCGGGACUCAGCCAACACUUACUGACCAUGCUGCACUUUGGACCAGCCAGCCUUUGACCCAGGCAACUAUUUUAACUUGAAGCCAGCACUAAAGGUUUUCAGGCCCAUGCUGCAGUAUAAAUUGAGUUGAUGGACGAAGAGGCUGUUUGAACCCCUGAGCCAGUUGACCUUCAUGGUACAGAUGGAAAAAAUGAAGUCCAUAGAAGCCAAACUAACUUGCCACCGCUAUUUACUGCCUCCCAGGAUGGUUUCCUUUGAUAACCAAAUAAAGGAACUCUUCAGAACCCCUUUUCAUCUCUUCGUGGCCUCAUCAGAGCUCAUCGAGAAAUGGCUGGGAGUGACCAAGCUGUCCUUCAGGGACCCCUCCAAUGGAGUGUUCCAGGCUUCCCACCCUUCGAACAGAUGACCCUGCAUAUCCUGGCACUUGGGGAUGUGGGGUUUCCAAAAUCCAGAUGUGUGGAGAGCAGAGGGGCCUGCAGCCGUGACAGCAGCUCAGCCUCUCUUCCUGCUCCAGUGAACCCCUUCCCAAGGUGGCAGAAGGAGCUCGCCUCUCAGGCGGGAAACCCACUUGUCCCAGGUGGACAGGGUGCCACCAGCACUCCAUGGUGUGGCAGGGACAGAGCAGGGCUGGCACACUGCCCACUUCCAAUGGCAUUGAAGGUUCUUGGGCACUUGGGAAGGUUUCAGAAAGGCAGCUGAAGUGGAAGGAAGUCUGCACAGAUGCACCUGGGGAGCCCUGUGCUGGCAAAUUGCUGACUCCAGGCACUGGACCUGCAGCUGCUCGUCACCGAGGCAGACGGUCCCCGCCGUCACAUCUCAGACUGUGUGGACAGUCCCAGCCAGAUGGAAACUCAGACAUAAACUUCUAGGCUCUCAUUUUAUUUAUACCAUUUUUAACAUUCGGCUCUUUUAAAAAUUAUUAUAAAGUAGUGCAUGCCUAUUCUGAAAUACUUGGAAAAUACAGAAAACAAGAAGAAACUAUAACCCUGUAAAUUCACCCAAGAUGACUGCUGUUAUAUCUCCAUCUCAACUUUUUCCCUGUGGUGAUGUGUAUUUUUUUUAUCAUUGAGAUCAUCCACUAUAUGUCAUUUGUAUCUGCUUUAUUCACUUUAAAUUAAAUUAUAAGCAUUUCUAACAUAGUAAAUGUUCUUUAUAAACACUUCUAA